CUUGCACAGCUUUGAACAGUGGAAUUUCCUAACCAGUGUUCACUGAGAUCUUAAGCUGUGUUUCAGCCAACAAAACUCUUGCUCCAGCUGCUGCUACUCCUACUCACACCAGCCUCAAUACCAUAAAAAUGUGCUCCUGAGGGUCCUGCUGGAGAGAAGCUUCACCCAGCACUGAUGUCAAUCCACAGGGAUCACAAUGCCCCACUCCCAGCAGAUCACUGUGUGAACCUGUCCUGGCUGUAGCAAGGAAUCCAUUGCAGUUUCACUUUUCCACUGAAGAUGAGUGGUAGUGAUGUGU
This 298-nucleotide long non-coding RNA is filed under the name Coturnix japonica (Japanese quail). RNAcentral's name for it is "lncRNA (ENSCJPG00005014530.1)". The record is from RNAcentral. Lineage: Eukaryota; Metazoa; Chordata; Aves; Galliformes; Phasianidae.